UCCCGUAGUGGGGGAUAACGCCGCGAAAAGCGGCGCUAAUACCGCAUACGCUCUACGGAGGAAAGCAGGGGAUCGCAAGACCUUGUGCUAAGGGAGCGGCCGAUGUCCGAUUAGGUUGUUGGUGGGGUAAUGGCUUACCAAGCCUGCGAUCGGUAGCUGGUCUGAGAGGAUGAUCAGCCACACUGGGACUGAGACACGGCCCAGACUCCUACGGGAGGCAGCAGUGGGGAAUUUUGGACAAUGGGGGCAACCCUGAUCCAGCCAUGCCGCGUGCGGGAAGAAGGCCUUCGGGUUGUAAACCGCUUUUAGCCGGGACGAAAGCUUCACGGAUAACACCCGUGAGGGUUGACGGUACCGGCGGAAUAAGCACCGGCUAACUACGUGCCAGCAGCCGCGGUAAUACGUAGGGUGCGAGCGUUAAUCGGAAUUACUGGGCGUAAAGCGUGCGCAGGCGGUUCGUUGUGUCGGUGGUGAAAUCCCCGGGCUUAACCUGGGAAUUUCACACAGGAAUAGAGUUUGAUCAUGGCUCAGGGUCACUUAACGCGUGAAGUUGACCAAUCGUAUACA
RNAcentral lists this ribosomal RNA (567 nucleotides) under uncultured bacterium. RNAcentral's name for it is "bacterial SSU rRNA". It matches the Rfam family "Bacterial small subunit ribosomal RNA", at positions 129 to 696 of the family's 1533-position model. The record is from RNAcentral.